AUCCAGCUGACGAGUCCCAAAUAGGAUGAAAGGUGCGUCAAACUGGAU
Molecule: non-coding RNA, 48 nt
Organism: Schistosoma mansoni
Lineage: Eukaryota; Metazoa; Platyhelminthes; Trematoda; Strigeidida; Schistosomatidae
Source: Rfam